AGUUCCCUAGGUAGGGAAACCAUCUUCCGACCCUAAUCUGUUCCCCACCUCCUUCGGAAGCCUGAAGCCCUCGAAGCCGACCCACCAAUCGGAGCCAUCUCCUCCAACGCCAAGGAGAGGAAAUAUGAGUAGGCGAUACAGUCGAACCAUCUACGUCGGCAAUCUCCCUGGUGACAUUCGUGAAAGGGAGGUCGAAGAUUUGUUCAACAAGUAUGGACCCAUCAUUGAUAUUGAUUUGAAGAUUCCUCCAAGGCCUCCAGGUUAUGCAUUCAUUGAGUUUGAAGAUCCUCGUGAUGCUGAUGAUGCUAUUCGUGGUCGUGAUGGGUAUAAUUUUGAUGGUCACAGAUUACGGGUGGAACUUGCUCAUGGUGGAAGAGGCCAAUCUUCGUCAUUUGAUCGUCACAGUAGUUACAGCAGCGGGGGUCGACGUGGUGGAGUUUCUAGACGCUCAGAAUAUCGUGUCAUGGUCACUGGUUUGCCUUCAUCUGCUUCCUGGCAAGACUUAAAGGAUCAUAUGCGCCGAGCUGGUGAUGUCUGCUUCUCUGAAGUUUUUCGCGAUGGUGGUGGUACUAUCGGAAUUGUAGAUUACACGAAUUAUGAUGAUAUGAAAUAUGCAAUAAGGAAGCUUGAUGACUCUGAGUUUCGCAAUGCAUUUUCACGAGCAUACAUAAGAGUGAAGGAAUAUGAUUCAAAGAGAAGCUUGUCUAGGAGCCGAAGUCGUAGUCGUUCUUAUUCAAGAAGCCCUACUCCACCCCGCAGUAGAAGCCGGAGCCGAAGCAAGUCUCCGAGGGCAAAGCCAUCACGCCAUUCCUUGUCAAGAUCUCGAUCAAGAUCUGCAUCUUCUCAUUCAAGAUCAGCAUCCAAAGGACGUUCUUUGUCAAGAUUUGGGCUUAAGCGGGGAUCUCUGGAUUGCAUGUUAGGAUCUGAAUUGGAUAUGGUGGCAAUGCUUGCAACCUUUUUGGUAUUGUGAGGUAUGCUGUUUCAUAGACGAGCAGUUUAUGAAACCUGCAGAAAAUCUUGAUGUUUACCUUUAAUGGCCUUUUCUGAUGGGCCUUCUCGGGGACAGAAAGGAUUGGUUGCAAUGACAAAGCUGGAUUAUUCUAAGGCAAAUGGAAAUGGGCGUCACUGGACGAGUCCUAGGGAGAAGUUUUGCCAUUCCUUCAACAUUUUCCCAGUACUAUAAGUUGCAUUCAGGGUCCUGGAUAUAGCUUUCCUGGGUACAAUGAACAGCCCUCAAGAUAGAUUAGGAUUUUUGUGGCGUGGGUUUUUCACAGCUUGCCCGAUGCAAUUUAUACUCUGCCAUAUCCAUGUUUGCAAGUCUAUGCUGAUCCCACUUGAAUUCUCUUUUUUUUCUCAAGAUUCAAACACUUGCAUAUUAUACAUGGCCAUGAGUUUUUUUAAUAAGAAUUAAAUGCUUUUAAAAUAUUUUGAGCUCUUUGUUCUGCCUUUCCAUAUGAUUCUCACCUGGGAGAGGCUUCAAGGAUUUGGAUCAAACUGUUAACCAGCGAUGUGGAUAUUGAACUCAGUUUUCUGGAACUUUUUGCAGAUCACAAUCGAGAUCGAGAUCUCCUGUAACCUCCCCCCUACGUGGGAGCAAAAGUCCUAGUAAGCCUAGUCCCAACAGGAGCAGAAGCUUAUCGCGAUCUCGAUCACCUAUGGCAAAAUCUGAAUAGAGCAAUAUUUUGCUGCUGAAGAUGGUUGAUAUGGGAUGAAUUGGAUGUCAUGGCUUAAGCAUGGAACACAGACUGGCAAUUUAGUAUUGUCGUUGGGUUGCGAUAAAUGCCUAGACUUCUGGUUGUUCCACCCGGACUUAAUCUUGCUGUUGAACUUUGUUAAAGAUAUUUAUGGUCUGUGGUGACCCGAUAUUAAGACAACAAACAUAUAUAAUGUCUGCAGGAACUAUCUCUGCUUGGUUUCUGUAUGUUUAGUAAAGGAGACAUUUUAGAUGUCUUUCUUGAA
Molecule: RNA transcript, 1959 nt
Organism: Musa acuminata subsp. malaccensis (wild Malaysian banana)
Lineage: Eukaryota; Viridiplantae; Streptophyta; Magnoliopsida; Zingiberales; Musaceae
Gene name: serine/arginine-rich-splicing factor SR34
Source: RefSeq, a predicted model, not a curated record